ACGGAGGGUGCGAGCGUUGUUCGGAAUUAUUGGGCGUAAAGCGCGUGUAGGCGGUUUGUUAAGUCUGAUGUGAAAGCCCCGGGCUCAACCUGGGAAGUGCAUUUGAUACUGGCAGACUUGAGUACGGGAGAGGGUAGUGGAAUUCCUGGUGUAGGGGUGAAAUCCGUAGAUAUCAGGAGGAACACCGAUGGCGAAGGCAGCUUCCUGGACUGAUAUUGACGCUGAGACGCGAUAGCGUGGGGAUCAAACAG
RNAcentral lists this ribosomal RNA (251 nucleotides) under uncultured prokaryote. RNAcentral describes it as "partial 16S rRNA". It matches the Rfam family "Bacterial small subunit ribosomal RNA", at positions 525 to 775 of the family's 1533-position model. The record is from RNAcentral.